This 139-nucleotide ribosomal RNA is filed under the name Apicomplexa sp. RNAcentral describes it as "partial small subunit ribosomal RNA". It matches the Rfam family "Eukaryotic small subunit ribosomal RNA", at positions 1296 to 1461 of the family's 1831-position model. Lineage: Eukaryota; Apicomplexa. The record is from RNAcentral.
AGUUCGUGGAUUAAUUUGUCAGGUUAAUUCCGUUAACGAACGAGACUUUAACUUGCUAGUUGGAGUUUAUUAUUUAUAGUACACUCUUCUAGAAGGACCAUGUGUGUCUAACACAAGGAAGCGUGAAGCAAUAACAGGU